AGCUAGGCUUGUGUGGAGCGGGCAAGAGGAAGGGUUGUGCAUCACACGAUCGGCCGCCCCCACCCCUCGUUGCAAAGGACUGCGUGCUUGGUGGGAGAGGCGGGGUAGGGCUGCAUUGUUUCGUCAUCGCGUUGUUGAUUACUAUUGCAAAUAGAUCUAUGCUUAUCUAGUAAAACUAUGUUUUGAAAAAUUUGAAAAAGCACCGUUCGGUUAGUGCAGACUAAAGACUGCUCACUUUGACCAGCGCAAUUAAACUGUCUUGGUACUGGUGGGCUCAUUACCGAUCGUACUCGAAAGCAUUGCUCAUCGUGUUUCUCAUUCUCAAUCUGUCAAUUUUAAAUUCUCUCAAAUUUCAAAUUCAAGUCAAUAGGCAAAGAUCUAACCUAUCUGAUCUAGGACAAUAGCCGAAAAAAGAAAAAUCUGUUCAGGCCCAAUCUUUGCUGCUUUCCUUGAUUCUCUAACACAGCUGAUGCCAUAACACUAUUCAUGUAUCCCUUGAACUACAGAGGCUGGUCCAGGUGAAUUCGAGUUAUCCGUGUUAUACUGUUCAUUCACCAUAAUGCCAGUGCAGAGAAGCAGACCAAACCGUGGAACACAUCCUCCAGAGGUGCAGACCAAACCGUGGAACACAUCCUCCAGAGGUGCAGGACAAACCGUGGAACACAUCCUCCAGAGGUGCAGGACAAACAGGGUCCCAAGACAGGAAACGUGGCCAACCCCCUUGACAGUACAACAGAAACUAUGGCUAACAGCACAACUGAGCAGGACAGCCCAUCUACUGCACUUCAAGUGUGGUGCGAUUGAGAAUUAAAAGAAAGACACAUAAA
Aplysia californica (California sea hare) is the source of this 827-nucleotide long non-coding RNA. RefSeq lists it as uncharacterized. The transcript is spliced from 2 exons. The record is from RefSeq and is a predicted model, not a curated record. Lineage: Eukaryota; Metazoa; Mollusca; Gastropoda; Aplysiida; Aplysiidae.